AUUCAAGAAGUCUUCUUCUAUAACAAAACUCUUCUUUCAUAGCUGUCUCUUCUUUAGUUGAAUCUUUCGAUCUUAGUUAACGAUCUUGGGUUUGCAUAAGUUCUCUCCAGGUAUACUUUUCUUUUGCUAUUCUCUACAUGGUAUCAACGCCAAUGUCAUAGAUUGACUUGUAUUUAUUUCAAGACCGGACUUAUGGUUGAUUCAACUAAUUUAUACGAAUGAAAACAGUCACAUUAAUAGGCUGGGAAUAGAGUUGUUGAAUCAGUUCAAUUACAAGGUAUGGAAGACAUGUAUGGAAUCAUACCUUGUGGGCGAGGAUUUGUGGGAUAUUGUUAAUGGGAGUAACACAAGUUCUUCGGAUGACGAACUGGAGAAUUGUGGUGCAUAAAAGAAGUGGAAGUAGAUAAAUGUGAAGGAGG
RNAcentral lists this long non-coding RNA (419 nucleotides) under Capsicum annuum. RNAcentral's name for it is "long non-coding RNA (CANN_LNC004350)". The record is from RNAcentral. Lineage: Eukaryota; Viridiplantae; Streptophyta; Magnoliopsida; Solanales; Solanaceae.